CCCACUCGACCCUGUUUCCAGAAACUGCCGCAAUGGGCUCCUCGUAGCUGCACAAAUCCGGCGACCUCAAGCUCCCGGCCGCUGCCGCCCGGAGAUUCGGCGCCGUAUCCGCGUCCUGUUCGUCGACCCCAGCUCCCUAGUUAUAUUCCUUCCACUCCCUCGCUGACGGUCGCGAAUCCCAUGCGGCGCCGAGGGGAGCUGCGCGUGGAGCUCCGCUGCGCAUCCUCUCAAUCCAAGUCCCUCGACGCCCUCUGCCAGAACUCUCUUCCGCGCUGCUGUAAAGGGAACGGCGUUUGGCGUAACUGGCCAAUAGAGCGAUCUCCAAUUUCGUGGAUCCUCUCUUAGCUUCAAGGAACCUGCAAGAAACAAUUCCCAAGCAGAUUUUAAAUAGUGGCCCGUUCGAUACCUGGAUGCUAUGGCAAUAUCAGCGGUUCUGUAAUUGUGCUGCAAAUCAGCGGUUCUGUUUUUUAAAUAUUGCAAUAACAUCGAUUCUGUAGUAUUGUUUCAAGAUCGAUCUUUAGAUCACUAGCACACAUGCUGAUGUGCACCCAAUUUCACUGAGGACUCUGCGAUGCAUCUAUAUCCCAUACUAUACUCAGAAUACUCUUUAGUUGGGCGGACAGCGGGAGGUGGAUGGUUUUGGUGCAACAUAAAAUGGCUAACAGCGGGAAACAUGGAUGCAACAGAGGAUUGGAAGAUGCAGUACAAUGGCCGAUACUGGAGCUCCCGUCCCCACCAAAGACAAAGACACCCAAUGGCAGUGGCGCCUUGGCUCUUACCCAAUGGCAGUGGCGCCUUGGCUCUUACCGGUGACUGCAGCAGCAGCGCUUUCGUACCAGAUAUCAGCUCCCUAGACAAGUCUCUACAGCACUGCUUCCUUGUGGACUAGCUGGCUAUCACAAUGCGGCAGAGAAAAUUCUAGUGACGGUCAGAACAUAAGCUACGCAUGAGCUAGCGUGCAAGACACUGACAUAAUUGUGUUGGUUAGGUGUGGGCUUUCCCAGGGUAGAUAAGCUCUGGGAGUAAUCAGCGACCGGAAGCAAACUUUAAUUAGUGACUCUAAAAGCCCACUUUUCAAAAGCUAGAAUUUUGUUGUACCUGAGUGAAAAUUAUGGUGUUUGCUACGGAAUUCUUACACUCUAGACAACCAAUUCAGUUAGUACUGAAUCCUUUGGUGAACAAUAGAACAACAUAUGUUCUCCCAAA
Lolium rigidum is the source of this 1206-nucleotide RNA transcript. RefSeq lists it as uncharacterized. The transcript has 6 exons. Lineage: Eukaryota; Viridiplantae; Streptophyta; Magnoliopsida; Poales; Poaceae. The record is from RefSeq and is a predicted model, not a curated record.